GGUAACAUUUCUAGCUUGCUAGAAGAUGACGAGUGGCGGACGGGUGAGUAAUACUUAGGAAUAUGCCUUUGUGUGGGGGAUAACCAUUGGAAACGAUGGCUAAUACCGCAUAACGUCUUCGGACCAAAGGGGGCCUUGGCUCCCGCGCAAAGAGUAGCCUAAGCGAGAUUAGCUUGUUGGUGAGGUAAAGGCUCACCAAGGCGACGAUCUCUAGCUGUUCUGAGAGGAAGAUCAGCCACACUGGAACUGAGACACGGCCCAGACUCCUACGGGAGGCAGCAGUGGGGAAUCUUCCGCAAUGGACGAAAGUCUGACGGAGCAACGCCGCGUGGGUGAUGAAGGCUUUCGGGUCGUAAAGCCCUGUCAGGGGGGAAGAAUUUUGACGGUACCCCCAAAGGAAGCACCGGCUAACUCCGUGCCAGCAGCCGCGGUAAUACGGAGGGUGCAAACGUUGCUCGGAAUCAUUGGGCGUAAAGCGUGCGUAGGCGGUCUACCAAGUCUGAUGUGAAAGCCUGGGGCUCAACCUCAGAAAGCCAUUGGAAACUGGUAGACUUGAGAGCAGGAGGGGUAGGUGGAAUUCCAGGUGUAGGGGUGAAAUCCGUAGAGAUCUGGAGGA
Molecule: ribosomal RNA, 616 nt
Filed under: uncultured bacterium
Lineage: Bacteria
Description: bacterial SSU rRNA
Rfam family: Bacterial small subunit ribosomal RNA
Source: RNAcentral